GAUGAACGCUGGCGGCGUGCCUAAUACAUGCAAGUCGAGCGAACAGACUAGGAGCUUGCUCCUCUGACGUUAGCGGCGGACGGGUGAGUAACACGUGGAUAACCUACCUAUAAGACUGGGAUAACUUCGGGAAACCGUAGCUAAUACCGGAUAAUAUAUUGAACCGCAUGGUUCAAUAGUGAAAGACGGUUUUGCUGUCACUUAUAGAUGGAUCCGCUCCGCAUUAGCUAGUUGGUAAGGUAACGGCUUACCAAGGCGACGAUGCGUAGCCGACCUGAGAGGGUGAUCGGCCACACUGGAACUGAGACACGGUCCAGACUCCUACGGGAGGCAGAAGAAGGGAAUCUUCCGAAAUGGGCGAAAGCCUGACGGAGAAACGCCGCGUGAGUGAUGAAGGUCUUCGGAUCGUAAAACUCUGUUAUUAGGGAAGAACAAAUGUGUAAGUAACUAUGCACGUCUUGACGGUACCUAAUCAGAAAGCCACGGCUAACUACGUG
This 497-nucleotide ribosomal RNA is filed under the name uncultured bacterium. RNAcentral describes it as "partial 16S ribosomal RNA". It matches the Rfam family "Bacterial small subunit ribosomal RNA", at positions 28 to 507 of the family's 1533-position model. The record is from RNAcentral.